RNAcentral lists this ribosomal RNA (408 nucleotides) under uncultured bacterium. RNAcentral describes it as "bacterial SSU rRNA". It matches the Rfam family "Bacterial small subunit ribosomal RNA", at positions 30 to 416 of the family's 1533-position model. The record is from RNAcentral.
AGCGAACGCUGGCGGCGUACCUAACACAUGCAAGUCGAACGGGGAUCACAGGGUUAGCAAUAACUCCGUGGUUCUAGUGGCGCACGGGUGAGUAACACGUGGGUAACCUGCCCUUGAGACUGGGAUACCCCCUCGAAGGGGGGCGUAAUACCGGAUACGUUCCUCGGAUCGAAAGGUUUGAGGAGGAAAGGUGGCGAAAGCUGCCGCUCUUGGAGGGGCGUCGCGGCCUAUCAGCUAGUUGGCGGGGUAACGGCCCACCAAGGCUAUGACGGGUAGCUGGUCUGAGAGGACGACCAGCCACACGGGGACGUGAGACACGGCCCCGACUCCUACGGGAGGCAGCGAGUGGGGAAUUUUCCGCAAUGGGCGAAAGCCUGACGGAGUGACGCCGCGUGUGGGAUGAAGGCC